Molecule: transfer RNA, 74 nt
Filed under: Thermoplasmata archaeon
Lineage: Archaea; Methanobacteriati; Thermoplasmatota; Thermoplasmata
Description: tRNA-Val
Rfam family: tRNA
About the family: Transfer RNA (tRNA) molecules are approximately 80 nucleotides in length. Their secondary structure includes four short double-helical elements and three loops (D, anti-codon, and T loops). Further hydrogen bonds mediate the characteristic L-shaped molecular structure. tRNAs have two regions of fundamental functional importance: the anti-codon, which is responsible for specific mRNA codon recognition, and the 3' end, to which the tRNAs corresponding amino acid is attached (by aminoacyl-tRNA synthetases). tRNAs cope with the degeneracy of the genetic code in two manners: having more than one tRNA (with a specific anti-codon) for a particular amino acid; and 'wobble' base-pairing, i.e. permitting non-standard base-pairing at the 3rd anti-codon position.
Source: RNAcentral
GGGCUCGUGGUCUAGUUGGUUAGGACACUGCCUUGACAUGGCAGAGAUCUCCGGUUCAAAUCCGGACGAGCCCA